UACGUGUGGUCCGAGCGUUGUCCGGAAUGACUGGGCGUAAAGGGUGCGUAGGCGGGCACAUAAGUCAGGUGUGAAAUCCCCGGGCUCAACCUGGGAAGUGCGCUUGAAACUAUGUGUCUCGAGGCUGUCAGGGGUAAGCGGAAUUCCCGGAGUAGCGGUGAAAUGCGUAGAUAUCGGGAAGAACACCGGUGGCGAAGGCGGCUUACUGGGACAGAACUGACGCUGAGGCACGAAGGCGUGGGGAG
Molecule: ribosomal RNA, 245 nt
Filed under: uncultured bacterium
Lineage: Bacteria
Description: partial 16S ribosomal RNA
Rfam family: Bacterial small subunit ribosomal RNA
Source: RNAcentral